AAAAAUCUUUCUAGAUACACUUUCCAGUACAUCUACUAUGUUACGACUUAUCUCAAAUAAAUCGAGAGUGACGGGCGAUAUGUACUUAUUUUAGAGCUAAAAUCAAAAUAAUAUUCUAAAUAAAAUUACUAUUAAAUCCACCUUCAUUAAAAUUUUAAAAUUUAAAUCCGUUUAUUAAUAAAUAUUGUAAUUCACCUCCACUUAAUCAUAAACUGCACCUUGACUUGAAAUAAUUUAUAAUAAUAAAUAAAGUAAAUUCUAAUUCUAAUAAAAUAAACUUAUAACAGCGGUAUACAUACUGAUAACAAGAAAUAAGUAAGAUAUAACGGGGAUUAUCGAUAACGGAGCAAAUUCCUCUAAAUAGACUAAAAUACCGCCAAAUUCUUCAAGUUUUAAAAAAAUAACUAAUACUACUCAGGUAAAUAUUUAACAUAUAUGUAUAAUAGGGUAUCUAAUCCUAGUUUAAUAAAUAUAUUUCGCAGAAUCAAAACAAAAUUAAUUAAUAUUUAAAUUUCACCUAUAAAAAUAAAUAUUAAAUUCACAAAAAUUUUUAACUACCACAAACCAAAAAUAUUAAUUUAUAUCCAUUGUAUAACCGCGUAUGCUGGCACAAUAUUAUACAAUAAUAAAUAGAAUUUCCAAAUCAUAUAUCAAUAUAUAUAUUUAAAACAAAAUACUGCAAAAUUUAAAUUAUUUAAACAUAAAUAUUAAGCAAAAACUUACAUGUAUAUAAUCCUAGAAAUUAAUAUACUAGACAGAAUAAAACUAAAAUUGAUCA
This 778-nucleotide ribosomal RNA is filed under the name Sipyloidea sipylus. RNAcentral's name for it is "eukaryotic LSU rRNA". The record is from RNAcentral. Lineage: Eukaryota; Metazoa; Arthropoda; Insecta; Phasmatodea; Lonchodidae.